AGUAAUACUUAGGAAUCUACCUAGUAGUGGGGGAUAGCACGGGGAAACUCGUAUUAAUACCGCAUACGACCUACGGGAGAAAGGGGGCAGUUUACUGCUCUCGCUAUUAGAUGAGCCUAAGUCGGAUUAGCUAGAUGGUGGGGUAAAGGCCUACCAUGGCGACGAUCUGUAGCUGGUCUGAGAGGAUGAUCAGCCACACCGGGACUGAGACACGGCCCGGACUCCUACGGGAGGCAGCAGUGGGGAAUAUUGGACAAUGGGGGAAACCCUGAUCCAGCCAUGCCGCGUGUGUGAAGAAGGCCUUUUGGUUGUAAAGCACUUUAAGCAGUGAAGAAGACUCUUCGGUUAAUACCCGGAGACGAUGACAUUAGCUGCAGAAUAAGCACCGGCUAACUCUGUGCCAGCAGCCGCGGUAAUACAGAGGGUGCAAGCGUUAAUCGGAAUUACUGGGCGUAAAGCGAGCGUAGGUGGCUUGAUAAGUCAGAUGUGAAAUCCCCGGGCUUAACCUGGGAACUGCAUCUGAAACUGUUAGGCUAGAGUAGGUGAGAGGGAAGUAGAAUUUCAGGUGUAGCGGUGAAAUGCGUAGAGAUCUGAAGGAAUACCGAUGGCGAAGGCAGCUUCCUGGCAUCAUACUGACACUGANGCUCGAAAGCGUG
This 656-nucleotide ribosomal RNA is filed under the name Psychrobacter sp. KR05-06. RNAcentral's name for it is "bacterial SSU rRNA". It matches the Rfam family "Bacterial small subunit ribosomal RNA", at positions 109 to 763 of the family's 1533-position model. The record is from RNAcentral. Lineage: Bacteria; Pseudomonadati; Pseudomonadota; Gammaproteobacteria; Moraxellales; Moraxellaceae.